RNAcentral lists this ribosomal RNA (101 nucleotides) under Clostridiales bacterium. RNAcentral describes it as "partial 23S ribosomal RNA". It matches the Rfam family "Bacterial large subunit ribosomal RNA", at positions 2827 to 2925 of the family's 2925-position model. Lineage: Bacteria; Bacillati; Bacillota; Clostridia; Eubacteriales. The record is from RNAcentral.
AGUAAGACCCCUUGUAGAUUACGAGGUUGAUAGGUCAGAGGUGGAAGUGCAGUAAUGUAUGAAGCUGACUGAUACUAAUAGGUCGAGGGCUUGAUCAAUAA